RNAcentral lists this long non-coding RNA (833 nucleotides) under Ananas comosus (pineapple). RNAcentral describes it as "long non-coding RNA (ACOM_LNC009580)". The record is from RNAcentral. Lineage: Eukaryota; Viridiplantae; Streptophyta; Magnoliopsida; Poales; Bromeliaceae.
AUGAACCUUCGCCUCCGUUUGGUUGGGGUUAAGGGGUGGAAUAACCUCUUAACCCCCAUUUUAUUCCCAAACACUUCUAAAAAUGGGUGGGGUACCCCAGCUAACCCCACAUCAAAUGGGUUAUCCCGGGUUAGCUAACCCCACCUAACCCCACCAAACCCUAACCAAACACUAUUUUCUAUUCAUAAUAACCCACUAUCCUUACUAUCCCACCUACUCCAAUCAAACAUUAUUUUUUACUAUCCUGGACUAACUCCAACCCCCAACCAAACAAAAAAAUACUCUAAUCCAACCUUAACUCUAAACUUAACUCUAUUUUUGGAAUAACUAACUUUUUCUUAAUUCCGAAUCAAACGGUAGCGAAGGUGUUAGUUAGGAACCGUUCUAAAAAGUAAGCUACCGUUUGGUUGGGGGUUAAGGGGUGGAAUAACCUCUUAACCCCCAAUUUAUACCCAAACACCACUCUUUACUAACCCGGGUUAGUGGGGUUUACUAAUCCCACUCCCCCUCCCAACUUUAACCCCGCAUGCAUCCCGCGCGAGCCCUCACCUUUUUCUUCUUUAUCAAUCAUUAACCCUACUCCCCCUCCCAACUUUAACCCCGCACGCAUCCCGAGCCCUCAUCUUUUUCUUCUUUAUCAAUCAUUAUCUUCUUAUCCCACCUACUCGAACCAAAUAUUUUUUUUCACUAUCCUAUACUAACUCCAACCUCCAACCAAACACAAAAAAAUUUUAACCCCACUUUAAUCCUGAACUUAACCCUAUUUCUGAAAUAGUUAUUUUUUUCUUAACCCCGAACCAAACGGAGGUUAAGGGAUUACCUAAGUAUCGUAC